UGGGGAAUAUUGGACAAUGGGCGCAAGCCUGAUCCAGCCAUGCCGCGUGAGUGAUGAAGGCCCUAGGGUUGUAAAGCUCUUUUGUGCGGGAAGAUAAUGACUGUACCGCAAGAAUAAGCCCCGGCUAACUUCGUGCCAGCAGCCGCGGUAAUACGAAGGGGGCUAGCGUUGCUCGGAAUCACUGGGCGUAAAGGGUGCGUAGGCGGGUCUUUAAGUCAGGGGUGAAAUCCUGGAGCUCAACUCCAGAACUGCCUUUGAUACUGAGGAUCUUGAGUUCGGGGGAGGUGAGUGGAACUGCGAGUGUAGAGGUGAAAUUCGUAGAUAUUCGCAAGAACACCAGUGGCGAAGGCGGCUCACUGGCCCGAUACUGACGCUGAGGCACGAAAGCGUGGGGAGCAAACA
This 402-nucleotide ribosomal RNA is filed under the name uncultured bacterium. Its description in RNAcentral is "bacterial SSU rRNA". It matches the Rfam family "Bacterial small subunit ribosomal RNA", at positions 355 to 774 of the family's 1533-position model. The record is from RNAcentral.